UGGAGGCAGCAGUGAGGGAUAUUGCGCAAUGGGCGAAAGCCUGACGCAGCAACGCCGCGUGGAGGAUGAAGGCCUUCGGGUUGUAACCUUCUUUGGAGCGGGACGAGGAAGGACGGUACCGCUCAAACAAGUCACGGCUAACUACGUGCCAGCAGCCGCGGUAAAACGUAGGUGGCAAGCGUUAUCCGGAAUUACUGGGCGUAAAGGGUGUGCAGGCGGGGGAACAAGUGGUGUAUGAAAUCGCUCGGCUUAACCGGGCGCGGUUAUGCCAGACUGUUCUUCUAGAGGACGAGAGAGGGGGGUGGAAUUCCGGGUGUAGUGGUGAAAUGCGUAGAGAUCCGGAGGAACCCCAGAGGCGAAGGCGGCCCCCUGGCUCGUACCUGACGCUCAGCCACGACAGCAUGGGGAGCGAACGGGAUUAGAUACCCUUGUAGUCC
This 437-nucleotide ribosomal RNA is filed under the name uncultured bacterium. RNAcentral describes it as "bacterial SSU rRNA". It matches the Rfam family "Bacterial small subunit ribosomal RNA", at positions 343 to 796 of the family's 1533-position model. The record is from RNAcentral.